CAGCAGCCGCGGUAAAACGUAGGGUGCAAGCGUUAAUCGGAAUUACUGGGCGUAAAGCGUGCGCAGGCGGUUUUGUAAGACAGAGGUGAAAUCCCCGGGCUCAACCUGGGAACUGCCUUUGUGACUGCAAGGCUAGAGUACGGCAGAGGGGGAUGGAAUUCCGCGUGUAGCAGUGAAAUGCGUAGAUAUGCGGAGGAACACCGAUGGCGAAGGCAAUCCCCUGGGCCUGUACUGACGCUCAUGCACGAAAGCGUGGGGAGCAAACAGGAUUAGAGACCCCUGUAGUCCCUGUCUCUUAUAC
Molecule: ribosomal RNA, 301 nt
Filed under: uncultured bacterium
Lineage: Bacteria
Description: partial 16S ribosomal RNA
Rfam family: Bacterial small subunit ribosomal RNA
Source: RNAcentral